This 235-nucleotide long non-coding RNA is filed under the name Homo sapiens (human). Its description in RNAcentral is "HSALNT0356834". The record is from RNAcentral. Lineage: Eukaryota; Metazoa; Chordata; Mammalia; Primates; Hominidae.
UACUAUUGACUUUCUGACGAUUAGGAGGACCAUCUGCUUCAGGUGAACCUGGAUCAUCGAACCAUAAUUGAUGGCAGUGACUGAAUGUCAGGAGCAGAUGCUAUUGAUGACUAAUGGGGCAGUUCCAAUCCUGGUCAUGAAUCUGCAUUAUGGAUCUUCACAAAUUGAAGAAACCCUCAAGGGGCCACGCCGGGAAAGGCAAGUUGAAAGAGAAGGACAUCCCUGACUACUUAAU